UACGUAGGGGGCAAGCGUUGUCCGGAUUUAUUGGGCGUAAAGAGCGUGUAGGCGGCCAGGUAGGUCCGUUGUGAAAACUGGAGGCUCAACCUCCAGCGGUCGAUGGAAACCAUCUGGCUAGAGUCCGGAAGAGGAGAGUGGAAUUCCGCGUGUAGCAGUGAAAUGCGUAGAGAUGCGGAGGAACACCGAUGGCGAAGGCAGCCCCCUGGGCUGACACUGACGCUCAGGCACGAAAGCGUGGGGAGCAAACAGG
This 253-nucleotide ribosomal RNA is filed under the name uncultured bacterium. Its description in RNAcentral is "partial 16S ribosomal RNA". It matches the Rfam family "Bacterial small subunit ribosomal RNA", at positions 524 to 776 of the family's 1533-position model. The record is from RNAcentral.